UUAAUAAAUUGUUAUAAAUAAGUUCUGACUUGAUCAAGAGCUUAAUAAAUAAUCAUAAAAUAUAAUAAACUGUAUUCAUUCCUCUAGGUUCUUAGAUUUGUCUGACACAUAUGUAUUGUUUUAUGUACAGUAUACAAUCAUAAGCACAAGCCCAAAAAAAGGAAAAUAAUUACUGUAUACUAUAUUGGUGAAAAAAUUAGAUAAAAUCAGAAUAAGUUUGUUUCAUUCUAACUGCCCUCUCAAUUUUAGAUAUAGAUACUAACAAUUAAUGUUAACUGCCCUCUCAAUUUUAGAUAAAGAUACUUAGCAAUUAAUGUUACAUUAACUGAAGGAUUUUAUUUAAUGAUUCAGAAAUGCCUAAUAUAUGUCAUAAGCUAUGAUAGAGCCCUUUAAUCAUGUUAACAAGCAAUAUUAAUCGAUUUAGUAUUCAAUAAUUUAUAAAGAGAAGUUUAUUGCAGCAUAAGAAUAAAUUGUAACAUUUAAAAAAGCCGCGCUACGCCACAACCGAGUUUUAGUUGAGGGCAUGAUGCCAUGAUCAAGAGAUGGCGCGCAUUCUGACGGGUUGGAUGAUGUUUUUUUUAAUGACCACUGGCGGUGAUUAUCAGCGGAGUGCCGUGGAAGAUGGCACCUUGGAUUGUGUGAUAUUGCAGACGUCAUGGCCGCGUUAUAGUGGUUAACUGCAUGGCGACGCCUGAGCGAUUGACAAUUUCCUUCUCGUCGUGCUGACUUAUUUUAUAAACAUAUUGGUGUCUUCUGUGUAAAUUCCUACGACAGUUGUUUCGUGGCCAUGACUGAAGCGCGGAAAUUAAUGUAGGAGAUGAUAACGUGAGGGAGGAAGUGGAUUUUCCCAUCUGCACCGGGCAGAAGGAAUGGCACUUGUAGCAAUGGGAUACAGCACUUCAUUCUAAAG
Macrobrachium nipponense is the source of this 910-nucleotide long non-coding RNA. RefSeq lists it as uncharacterized. The record is from RefSeq and is a predicted model, not a curated record. The transcript is spliced from 3 exons. Lineage: Eukaryota; Metazoa; Arthropoda; Malacostraca; Decapoda; Palaemonidae.